Molecule: ribosomal RNA, 279 nt
Filed under: uncultured archaeon
Lineage: Archaea
Description: partial 16S rRNA
Rfam family: Archaeal small subunit ribosomal RNA
Source: RNAcentral
GAGACCCACGCCAACAGUUGCCAGCACGUUCUCCGGAAUGGUGGGGACACUGUUGGGACCGCCUCUGCUAAAGAGGAGGAAGGAAUGGGCAACGGUAGGUCGGCAUGCCCCGAAUUACCCGGGCUACACGCGGGCUACAAUGGACAGGACAAUGGGAAUCGACACCGAGAGGUGAAGGCAAUCCCCUAAACCUGCCCUUAGUUCGGAUUGUGGGCUGCAACUCGCCCACAUGAAGCUGGAAUCCGUAGUAAUCGCGGAUCAACAUUCCGCGGUGAAUAU